This 464-nucleotide ribosomal RNA is filed under the name Vreelandella stevensii. RNAcentral describes it as "partial 16S ribosomal RNA". It matches the Rfam family "Bacterial small subunit ribosomal RNA", at positions 338 to 795 of the family's 1533-position model. Lineage: Bacteria; Pseudomonadati; Pseudomonadota; Gammaproteobacteria; Oceanospirillales; Halomonadaceae. The record is from RNAcentral.
CCUACGGGCGGCUGCAGUGGGGAAUAUUGGACAAUGGGCGAAAGCCUGAUCCAGCCAUGCCGCGUGUGUGAAGAAGGCCUUCGGGUUGUAAAGCACUUUCAGUGGGGAAGAAAGCCUUGGGGCUAAUACCCUCGAGGAAGGACAUCACCCACAGAAGAAGCACCGGCUAACUCCGUGCCAGCAGCCGCGGUAAUACGGAGGGUGCGAGCGUUAAUCGGAAUUACUGGGCGUAAAGCGCGCGUAGGCGGUCUGAUAAGCCGGUUGUGAAAGCCCCGGGCUCAACCUGGGAACGGCAUCCGGAACUGUCAGGCUAGAGUGCAGGAGAGGAAGGUAGAAUUCCCGGUGUAGCGGUGAAAUGCGUAGAGAUCGGGAGGAAUACCAGUGGCGAAGGCGGCCUUCUGGACUGACACUGACGCUGAGGUGCGAAAGCGUGGGUAGCAAACAGGAUUAGAUACCCCGUAGUC